UGGACGUGUUCUUGAUAGUGUCUCCAGCGGUGGCGCCAUGCUGCUACAGCCAGGUUCUGUCUGUGUGUGAGGGCAGACGGUUCAGUCUAAGGGGGGUCCAGAGGCUGCAGCUCCCCACCAAACGAACCCAGGCACUGGGACUCACCGGACAGCAGGUAUGACCCCACCUCCACCACACUGUCUCCAGAUCAGUCACACCACACUGAAUUGACAGCAAAGUGCCUGAGAGGAGCUGGCGAGAUCAAUGUUGACUAUGCCCUUAAAAGUUUGUCUUUCUCUUUGACAAGGUGUCAGUGUUCUGCAGUCCGCCCACUUUUACUGUGGAUGAGAAGAAGUUUGAGCUGUCUUCUCACUGCCUGGUCUUACUUCUGAGGAGAGAGAGUGGCCUGCGUUACUGUGCCAACAGCCCUUGUGAAAGAGUUGGAGACACAGAGGUUGUUGGGAUGUAUCCACAUCAGACUGUCAGAUGAAGGAAAGCUGGACCCGAGCAGCUGCUUUCACAUGUUGCCCUACAGAGAGAGCCUGCUCCAUAGCUUUGGUGGGCGUAUGUGGGCCGUACCCAACCCCUGCAAUGUGGUGCUGUCCAAUCAUAGGUGUCCAUUCAACCCAGAGCUGGAGCAGGUGGUGGUGCUUACGCUGGCUGGAAGGGACAUCAGUCAGGGCCUGAGCCUGCUACACAGGCUCUGGACAGGGGACACAACAGGCGAUGUCGAGGAGGAUGGAUUCCAGCUACUGGCCAUGAAGUGGCUGCCCACAUUGUCCCGGCAGCAGGUGCGGGAGGAGGUAUGUGACCGGCUGUGGCAGAGCAGCCUGGUGGGCCUGGCCUCCUCCCCUGCCCUGGUGUGUGCCCUGAGGAGGGUGGACGCCUUCGCCACUCUACGGCAGUUCCUGCCACGGGACUACCCCGGGAACCUGAACAUACUGUUGUCUCCCACUCCUGAACUGGCCUUCAGACAAGCAUCCCUCUUCUUCUCCCUGGGAGACAUGAUCCCUGAUCACAGUGUGCGCCCAUUACUGAAGUUCCUACCCCCACCUCGCAUUAAUGUAGCUGGUUCCCAGUGUGAGUCGUUGUUAAACUGCUUGGUGCAGGGUCCCCAGCCGCUGGUCACACUUCCUGUUCAAGCCUGGAGUGUGGAGCCAUGUUCUGGGGAAAAUCCUCAGCAAAGUCCAGCGGAGUGGUUUCACUGUGGUGGGCCUGCAUGUGCUGGUUCUGGACAAUGGCACAGCUGUGUCACUGGUGUCUGUUGCAGAGAAUCAGACAACUCACGUAUUCCUACUUACCUAAACCAGGCCAGUGGACAGAUUGUUAUAUUGUUUUAA
RNAcentral lists this long non-coding RNA (1320 nucleotides) under Salmo trutta (river trout). RNAcentral's name for it is "lncRNA (ENSSTUG00000012073.1)". The record is from RNAcentral. Lineage: Eukaryota; Metazoa; Chordata; Actinopteri; Salmoniformes; Salmonidae.